UACGGAAUGUGCAAACGUUAUUCGGAAUCACUGGGCUUAAAGAGUCCGUAGGCGGCAUGUUAGGUGAGGUGUGAAAUCCCCCGGCUCAACCGAGGAAUUGCGCUUCAAACCGGCGUGCUAGAGGAAGAUAGAGGUGGGCGGAACUGAUGGUGGAGCGGUGAAAUGCGUUGAUAUCAUCAGGAACACCGGAGGCGAAGGCGGCCCACUGGGUCUUUUCUGACGCUGAGGGACAAAAGCUAGGGGAGCGAACGGG
RNAcentral lists this ribosomal RNA (253 nucleotides) under uncultured bacterium. RNAcentral's name for it is "partial 16S ribosomal RNA". It matches the Rfam family "Bacterial small subunit ribosomal RNA", at positions 524 to 776 of the family's 1533-position model. The record is from RNAcentral.